CCCUUAGAUGUUCUGGGCCGCACGCGCGCUACACUGACUGACUCAACGAGUUUACAACCUGUGCCGAAAGGUAUGGGUAAUCUUUUGAAAUUCAGUCGUGAUGGGGCUAGAUUAUUGCAACUAUUAAUCUUCAACGAGGAAUGCCUAGUAAGCGCAAGUCAUCAGCUUGCGUUGAUUACGUCCCUGCCCUUUGUACACACCGCCCGUCGCUCCUACCGAUUGAAUGGUCCGGUGAAGCGUUCGGACCGUGGCCUUUGGACGGUUCGCCGUCUGUUGGCUGCGGGAAGUUCGUUAAACCUUAUCAUUUAGAGGAAGGAGAANUCGUAACA
RNAcentral lists this ribosomal RNA (329 nucleotides) under uncultured eukaryote. RNAcentral's name for it is "partial 18S ribosomal RNA". It matches the Rfam family "Eukaryotic small subunit ribosomal RNA", at positions 1470 to 1796 of the family's 1831-position model. The record is from RNAcentral.